UCUUAUCAAGAGUGGUGGAGGGAUGUGCCCAAUGAAGCCCGGCAACCGUCAAUUAAUUUGAAAUGGUGCCAAAUCACACAAAGUAGUUAUACUUUGGUAGAUGAGA
Molecule: non-coding RNA, 106 nt
Filed under: Bacillus massilioanorexius
Lineage: Bacteria; Bacillati; Bacillota; Bacilli; Caryophanales; Bacillaceae
Description: SAM riboswitch (S box leader)
Rfam family: SAM riboswitch aptamer (S box leader)
About the family: The SAM riboswitch is found upstream of a number of genes which code for proteins involved in methionine or cysteine biosynthesis in Gram-positive bacteria.
Source: RNAcentral